RNAcentral lists this ribosomal RNA (380 nucleotides) under uncultured eukaryote. RNAcentral's name for it is "partial 18S ribosomal RNA". It matches the Rfam family "Eukaryotic small subunit ribosomal RNA", at positions 592 to 976 of the family's 1831-position model. The record is from RNAcentral.
CAAUAGCGUAUAUUAAAGUUGUUGCGGUUAAAAAGCUCGUAGUUGGAUUUCUGCUGAGAACGACCGGUCCGCCCUUUGGGUGUGUAUCUGGCUCUUUCUUGGCAUCUUCUUGGUGAACGUUGCUGCACUUGACUGUGUGGAGCGCUACCCAGGACUUUUACUUUGAGGAAAUUAGAGUGUUUCAAGCAGGCAUACGCCUUGAAUACAUUAGCAUGGAAUAAUAAGAUAGGACCUCGGUUCUAUUUUGUUGGUUUCUAGAGCUGAGGUAAUGAUUAAUAGGGAUAGUUGGGGGCAUUCGUAUUUAGCCGUCAGAGGUGAAAUUCUUGGAUCUGCUAAAGACGGACAACUGCGAAAGCGUUUGCCCAGGAUGUUUUCAUUGA